Oreochromis aureus is the source of this 638-nucleotide long non-coding RNA. RefSeq lists it as uncharacterized. The record is from RefSeq and is a predicted model, not a curated record. The transcript has 5 exons. Lineage: Eukaryota; Metazoa; Chordata; Actinopteri; Cichliformes; Cichlidae.
CUCUGAGGCGCGAAUUCCGACAGUGAGAGGAACGGCUGGAUACAGGAGACGGGAAGAAACAAGCCGAUUAUGUUCGCGUUAAUUAAGUGGUUGGAAGAUGUAAAAUUCUCAAUUCUGCCAACUGAACAUAUACGAGAUUUUAAUGAGGAUGAAUAAUUAGCCGGCAUGGAGGAAACGGACCUUUAUUUGGUGGAGUGGCGACAAGAAGCCAAAAGGCGGGUGGCCGGUCUAUGAAGCCUCCAUCAUCAAGCUAGCAGCCCAUGAAAUCGAACGCAGAUCUUCCUGAUGUGAGAUUUACAUAAAUAUGUCAAAGUCUCAACCUCAUGCUGCCCUCCCCCAUCCUCCUAAACCUGUGGAUACAAAUGCAGAUUUCCUUAAUGUUCAAUGGUGCGUGUUCUUCUAAUGGCCGCCUUCCCACUGGAGGUUUUGAUCCACAGCAAUUUAAAAGGUAAACAGCUUUGAAAGUCAGUUCAAAUGGUUAGCUAAUAGUAUUCUAAAAAGCCUACAACUCUGUCACCAGUUUCUUUACCAAAAAGUACCCAUAAAAGUAUCUCUCAAUAGCAUAUCAUUGUAGCUCAAAUGUUUAGUUGUACAAAUAUCAGAUUUUUGGAAAUCUAAAACUAGUCAAACACUCAAAU